RNAcentral lists this ribosomal RNA (200 nucleotides) under uncultured bacterium. Its description in RNAcentral is "partial 16S ribosomal RNA". It matches the Rfam family "Bacterial small subunit ribosomal RNA", at positions 524 to 723 of the family's 1533-position model. The record is from RNAcentral.
UACGGAGGAUGCAAGCGUUAUCCGGAUUUAUUGGGUUUAAAGGGUUCGUAGGCGGGAAUAUAAGUCAGUGGUGAAAGCCUGCAGCUCAACUGUAGAAUUGCCAUUGAUACUGUAUUUCUUGAAUAUAUACGAAGUAGGCGGAAUGCGUCAUGUAGCGGUGAAAUGCACAGAUAUGACGCAGAACACCGAUAGCGAAGGCA